Molecule: ribosomal RNA, 485 nt
Filed under: uncultured bacterium
Lineage: Bacteria
Description: partial 16S ribosomal RNA
Rfam family: Bacterial small subunit ribosomal RNA
Source: RNAcentral
GACGAACGCUGGCGGCGUGCUUAACACAUGCAAGUCGAACGAUGAAACUAGAGCUUGCUCUAGUGGAUUAGUGGCGAACGGGUGAGUAACACGUGAGUAACCUGCCCUUGACUCUGGGAUAACUGCUGGAAACGGUAGCUAAUACUAGAUAUUACUCUUGAAGGCAUCUUCUGAGAGUGGAAAGAUUUUUUGGUCAAGGAUGGACUCGCGGCCUAUCAGCUUGUUGGUGAGGUAAUGGCUCACCAAGGCGACGACGGGUAGCCGGCCUGAGAGGGUGACCGGCCACACUGGGACUGAGACACGGCCCAGACUCCUACGGGAGGCAGCAGUGGGGAAUAUUGCACAAUGGGCGAAAGCCUGAUGCAGCAACGCCGCGUGAGGGAUGACGGCCUUCGGGUUGUAAACCUCUUUUAGUAGGGAAGAAGCGAAAGUGACGGUACCUGCAGAAAAAGCACCGGCUAACUACGUGCCAGCAGCCGCAGUAA